UGUGACACACCCUGCAAAAACAACUCGAUCAAUGCAGCAAAUAUCUACGUAGCAUUCCAUCUUAUACUCGCCUCCGAUUAUCAAACCGGACCCGAUCGAACGGCAGGACGACGAGGGCGACGGCAAGAGAAACACAUGUGGUUACUGUAAAGGAUCAGCUACCUUUGCAGACUCAAAUAGAAGGCACAGCUACUAGAAAUGAACUGAGUCUCGGACCAGAGAUUGUCCUCAUGCUAUGAAGAGAGAACACUCACUUUGAACCUAACAGGCCAAAAGGUUGCUAAAAUCAAACUUUCUCCUCUAUUGAAACGCUCCUU
Long non-coding RNA from Oryza brachyantha (malo sina), 317 nucleotides. RefSeq lists it as uncharacterized. The transcript is spliced from 3 exons. Lineage: Eukaryota; Viridiplantae; Streptophyta; Magnoliopsida; Poales; Poaceae. The record is from RefSeq and is a predicted model, not a curated record.